RNAcentral lists this ribosomal RNA (380 nucleotides) under uncultured eukaryote. Its description in RNAcentral is "partial 18S ribosomal RNA". It matches the Rfam family "Eukaryotic small subunit ribosomal RNA", at positions 592 to 976 of the family's 1831-position model. The record is from RNAcentral.
CAAUAGCGUAUAUUAAAGUUGUUGCAGUUAAAAAGCUCGUAGUUGGAUUUGUGGCGUACGGUGUGUUCCGGGCACUUGUUGUCUGAGUAACCUGCUGUUGCCAUCCUUGGGUGGAACCUGUGUGGCAUUAGGUUGUCGUGCAGGGGAUGCCCAUCAUUUACUGUGAAAAAAUUAGAGUGUUCAAAGCAGGCUUAUGCCGUUGAAUAUAUUAGCAUGGAAUAAUGAGAUAGGACUUUUUUGCUAUUUUGUUGGUUUGCGCAAGAAGGUAAUGAUUAAUAGGGACAGUUGGGGGUAUUCGUAUUCCAUUGUCAGAGGUGAAAUUCUUGGAUUUUUGGGAGACGAACUACUGCGAAAGCAUUUACCAAGGAUGUUUUCAUUAA